ACCCCGCCGAGAGAGAAAUUCCCGCGCGAUUCCUCCUUUCUCCCUUCUCUGGUUUUGCGAUCUACUGCAGGCAUCGCAGGUCGUGAGAGCAGGUCGGAAAAGAUGAGAACUCCGGGCGGUGCGAUGUCAGCUAAAAGAUUUGAGGAGUUGAGACUCUAC
Phalaenopsis equestris is the source of this 159-nucleotide long non-coding RNA. RefSeq lists it as uncharacterized. The transcript is spliced from 3 exons. The record is from RefSeq and is a predicted model, not a curated record. Lineage: Eukaryota; Viridiplantae; Streptophyta; Magnoliopsida; Asparagales; Orchidaceae.